Molecule: long non-coding RNA, 950 nt
Organism: Falco peregrinus (peregrine falcon)
Lineage: Eukaryota; Metazoa; Chordata; Aves; Falconiformes; Falconidae
Exons: 3
Source: RefSeq, a predicted model, not a curated record
GCCAGUGCCAGUUUUUCUGUUAAUAUUACUGGUCUGCAAACCAUGCUGGCUCAACAGCUGCCUCCCAAACAGCUGAGCCACCUUCACAGUGCAAAUGAAAACUUCCGAGAGAGAGGUGGGGCAGACAGCCGGCGGCAGGAAUCAUUGCAGCCAUCUCCGGCUCCUGCUCAGCCAUGGCAAACAAGCUUUAGAGUUUCAAUCCUAACAGUGGGGCAGACCAGCAAGCGAGCAUGUGACAUCUGAGUGAAAAGGUCUUUGCACCGUGGGAUGGAUGUGUCAUGGGAAGGCGACCUGCUGCUUGAUGCUUGUAAGGGCCCUUCAGGAAAAAGGCAAGCCUGCUACUUCCCCAUACCCAGAAGUGUCCCAGAAGCUAAGCUGAACAUAAAGAGCGGCUCUCUUCCUGCCCAUCCAUAAUCAGCUCCAAGCAGUCAUCACCUGUCCCCCAGAACAUUUCAGAAAUUCCAGAGUACAUAGUGAUAUAAAGCAGCUGAAAUGCAGCAAUGUCCCAUGAAGAAAGAAGCUGCUUGUUGAAACCUACUAUUUCACAUUCAAGUAGGAGGAGGUAUGGUAGAGCACACCACAGCAGAGUCCUGGCAGUGCACAUCAAUAAGGACAAAUGAACUUUUCAGCACUGACUCAAGGCAUUUCAAUGUUGUCUUCCACUGAAGUUUGCUCCACUAACCUUCGUGCCUUGCUGUCUUAACAGUAGUGAUACCAGUUGAGAAGUGAUACUAAGAAACCACUCAGUAUUUGAGAAAUUUACACUUUUCUUUUUGCUGCAUUCCCCAGGAAUUACCAUUUGCCUCACUUUGUGGAUGUCCCCACAGAUGACAUUUAAGCAAGCACUGUUCUGAUUUAUCUUGUCCUCAGGGCAUUUCUAACCUAUGUGGACUAUGUCUGUGGGUAAUGAAAUACAUUGUCACACCACAAAUUAAACACAUUAAAUUAAA